This 722-nucleotide non-coding RNA is filed under the name unclassified sequences. The record is from Rfam.
GGAUAAGCUUGGUUUACCAAGCGAAAGGUCGAAUUCUACUGGAGGAUUCCGCUCCUUUGCGCUUUUUUUUCGGAUUAGGCGUGGAGGCGAAAGUCACCCUCCUCGCAUCGCAAGUUCGUGCUUGCGACUUACACGUAGGGCGAGGGGUGGGCGAAAGUUGCCAUGAGACCGUAACUUUCGUAGUCAUUGAUAAAGGGGCAGGUCUCGCUCUUUUGUCAUUGCGGUUGCCUAGAGGCAUGGUCGUUUACCGCGACUUUCCAGUGAAUGGAUCAACCUGUUGAUGCAGGUAGUGUGUAUCAUGCGAAUCGUUCUGCGAUUCGUAACUGCAGGUUGCUCCGGUUGAUCGAUAGAUUGUAAGGUUUGUCGGUCGUUUUAAUCGUGUCUUACAACACGAUGAUGUUACCCCAUAAUGACCUGAGAGGUAUGAGGCGAUACCCGUAUUGAUUGUUGAGCGAAGCCGGCUUGCCGGUGGAGUGAUGCUUUCAGAGUGGCUAGUGCACCAGACGGUAACCGAUGCACUGCCGAGUAGCGAAAGUCGUUCCUUUUGGAAUGGCCUAGUUGCCCAGAAGCCUCCCCUCAAAAUCGUUUCAGUCCAAAAUUGAUUCGGCGGCCCUGUCAUGAGGCCGAAACGAAGGCACGUACCCCUUCGAAUGGCGUCGGGGAGUCAGCGGCUAUAUAUGCGCCUAAUGCUGGCAUCCGGGAACGAGCGUGUGGCGAGCGCC